GACGAACGCUGGCGGCGUGCUUAACACAUGCAAGUCGAACGGAAAGGCCCUGCUUUUGUGGGGUGCUCGAGUGGCGAACGGGUGAGUAACACGUGAGUAACCUGCCCUUGACUUUGGGAUAACUUCAGGAAACUGGGGCUAAUACCGGAUAGGAGCUCCUGCUGCAUGGUGGGGGUUGGAAAGUUUCGGCGGUUGGGGAUGGACUCGCGGCUUAUCAGCUUGUUGGUGGGGUAGUGGCUUACCAAGGCUUUGACGGGUAGCUGGCCUGAGAGGGUGACUGGCCACAUUGGGACUGAGAUACGGCCCAGACUCCUACGGGAGGCAGCAGUGGGGAAUAUUGCACAAUGGGCGGAAGCCUGAUGCAGCAACGCCGCGUGCGGGAUGACGGCCUUCGGGUUGUAAACCGCUUUCGCCUGUGACGAAGCGUGAGUGACGGUAAUGGGUAAAGAAGCACCGGCUAACUACGUG
RNAcentral lists this ribosomal RNA (468 nucleotides) under uncultured bacterium. RNAcentral describes it as "partial 16S ribosomal RNA". It matches the Rfam family "Bacterial small subunit ribosomal RNA", at positions 28 to 507 of the family's 1533-position model. The record is from RNAcentral.